UACGGAGGGGGCUAGCGUUGUUCGGAAUUACUGGGCGUAAAGCGCACGUAGGCGGCUUUGUAAGUUAGAGGUGAAAGCCCAGGGCUUAACCCUGGAAUUGCCUUUAAGACUGCAUCGCUAGAAUCGUGGAGAGGUGAGUGGAAUUCCGAGUGUAGAGGUGAAAUUCGUAGAUAUUCGGAAGAACACCAGUGGCGAAGGCGGCUCACUGGCUCGGUACUGACGCUGAGGUGCGAAAGCGUGGGGAGCAAACAGG
This 253-nucleotide ribosomal RNA is filed under the name uncultured bacterium. RNAcentral describes it as "partial 16S ribosomal RNA". It matches the Rfam family "Bacterial small subunit ribosomal RNA", at positions 524 to 776 of the family's 1533-position model. The record is from RNAcentral.